Molecule: microRNA precursor, 208 nt
Filed under: Brachypodium distachyon (stiff brome)
Lineage: Eukaryota; Viridiplantae; Streptophyta; Magnoliopsida; Poales; Poaceae
Description: MIR1435 microRNA precursor family
Rfam family: MIR1435 microRNA precursor family
Source: Rfam by way of RNAcentral
UAGCUAUGUCCUAAGUCAAACUUUUUAAAGUUUGACUAAGUUUAUAGAAAUUUUUACUAAUAUAUACAAUAUCAAAUAAAGAUGCUAUGAAGAAAUACAUGAUAUAUCAUGUCGGGUUUAAUAAAACUAAUUUAGAGUUGUACAUGUUGGUAGAUUUUUCUAUAAACCUUGGUCAAGCUUCAGGAAGUUUGACUUAGGACAAAACUUA